CAGUGGUGGAAAAAGUUGCCAUGAAUGUAGAAAGCUUUCGCCCCACUGUCACUACAAUCAUGGAUCCAGUAUUUGUUUCUAUUCAAAAUUUACUCAUCAAAACGAAAUCUAUGAGUGUGCUGAGAGAUGGUUUGCUAUGGAUCCCUUUAUGUCAUUUUACGUGGCUACCUUCUUCGUCCUUCUCUUUUCUUUCGGGUUCGGCCUCUAUUUCGGUUGCCUCUACUAUUUGAAUGUAUUUGUGGUUCCGGCCAUUCCACGUCGAGAAGUGGACUCACUUCGAAAUCACGUGGACUUGAUCAGAGAAAGACGCAGAA
This is a non-coding RNA of Parasteatoda tepidariorum (common house spider), 314 nucleotides long. Lineage: Eukaryota; Metazoa; Arthropoda; Arachnida; Araneae; Theridiidae. The record is from RefSeq and is a predicted model, not a curated record.